This 485-nucleotide ribosomal RNA is filed under the name uncultured bacterium. Its description in RNAcentral is "partial 16S ribosomal RNA". It matches the Rfam family "Bacterial small subunit ribosomal RNA", at positions 28 to 523 of the family's 1533-position model. The record is from RNAcentral.
GAUGAACGCUGGCGGCGUGCUUAACACAUGCAAGUCGAACGAUGAACCGGGUGCUUGCACUCGGGGAUUAGUGGCGAACGGGUGAGUAACACGUGAGCAACCUGCCCCUGACUCUGGGAUAAGCGCUGGAAACGGCGUCUAAUACUGGAUAUGUCCCGUCACCGCAUGGUGUGCGGGUGGAAAGAUUUUUCGGUUGGGGAUGGGCUCGCGGCCUAUCAGCUUGUUGGUGAGGUAAUGGCUCACCAAGGCGUCGACGGGUAGCCGGCCUGAGGGGGUGACCGGCCACACUGGGACUGCGACACGGCGCAGACUUCUACGGGAGGGAGAAGUGGGGAAUAUUGCACAAUGGGCGGGAGCCUGAUGCAGCAACGCCGCGUGAGGGAUGAGGGGCUUCGGGUUGUAAACCUCUUUUAGCAGGGAAGAAGCGAGAGUGACGGUACCUGCAGAAAAAGCACCGGCUAACUACGUGCCAGCAGCCGCCGUAA